CAUGAGAAUUUUCUUCCAUCUGAAAACUGCAGUUGAAGUGUCAUGUACUGAGUAUCAAAAGAUGCCUUCCAAAUUGGCUCUGAUGCUGAGUCACUAGCUGGGUGAUCUCAAAUGCUGUUUGUAACCCCUGCAAUACCCUCUCUCACUGACUUCUGCAUUCUUUCCAAGAACAACAAAGAACUUGGAGUGAGAGUCUCCAUCCAGUGUGGAAAGCCAGCCUCCUUCUGAACGUCUUCGGAUCAAGAUGUAGAACUCUCAGCUCCCCCAGCUUCAUCUCUGCAAGCUGCCAUGCUUCCCAUUCUGAUGACAAUGAACUGAACCUUUGAAAGUGUCCUGACAUAUGGAGCUACAGAAAGAUCAUCAUAGCCUCAUGAGAAGGAAAAGAAUCUCUCCAUCUCUGUGAAUCCAAUUUUUCUGGAGAAGUCCCAUUUGAGAAUGGACUGUGCCCUGAUUCUAGGCUUUAAGUUGAAGUUGAAAGAAGGAAUGGCCUUCGGUGUACAUAAUGAAAUUAUUCAUUUCCUGAAUAUGCAGAGACACAAAUUUCUCAAUACCUAGUUCAAUCAGAUCCAGCACAUGGUAGUCAUACAUAUGACCUAUUACUAGGUUAUUUGGCCUCUUCUUGUUAUGGGAGCCAAACAUGAAUAAAGAGCAGUCUGACCUACAGGGUUGCAGACCUCUUUAGCUCCUUGGAUACUU
Mus musculus (house mouse) is the source of this 696-nucleotide long non-coding RNA. RefSeq annotates it as predicted gene, 41340. The transcript is spliced from 4 exons. The record is from RefSeq and is a predicted model, not a curated record. NCBI's taxonomy places the organism in Eukaryota, Metazoa, Chordata, Mammalia, Rodentia, Muridae.